This is a long non-coding RNA of Cryptomeria japonica (Japanese cedar), 1676 nucleotides long. RefSeq lists it as uncharacterized. The transcript is spliced from 6 exons. Lineage: Eukaryota; Viridiplantae; Streptophyta; Pinopsida; Cupressales; Cupressaceae. The record is from RefSeq and is a predicted model, not a curated record.
CACAAAAGUCUUAGCAGGCUGAGACUGCAAAUUUAGGGUUAGGGUUAUAGACAACAAAUUUUAAUGGGGCCGACAGUUAGACGAAGACGGAGAAAAAAACGGAAGGGCAACGAGAGAGGAAGAACAUGUAGUAGAAGCAGCUUGAAUAUAUAUAAUCUUCCACCACAUCAAAUCACGGUAUUUCACCAUCUCAAGUGGAUUGUCGAACAAGGAAAUGACCAACCAACUGUACUAGACAAUCUUGAGAUAAUUGAUAAUGGCCACGAUCUUGCUGCAUUUAAUUCCCAACCUUGGGGAACGGGAAAAUCAAGAGGAUAUGGUUGGAAAUGAGUUUUUUGCGCUUAGUAUGGAAGAGGGGGCUGAACAUAACAUUUGCACUGCCUCCACUAGGUAUUAUAACAUGUAUUAAAUUAUUCAAAUUAUUUAUAUUGCACAUAAUUAGUCUUAACAAAGGAAAUUUUUAUUCCCAAUAAUCUUUCCACUCUAAAUAAAUUAUCCAAAUUAUAUUUGACUAUUGCCAUCCUCUAAACUAUAUAUGACGAUCGGCUAACCAUUGCAAAGUGCUAGUUUAAAUUUCUUUCAGUAGAACAACUGAAAAUCCGGGCUAGCCUGAAACCCUCAAGUGUAUUGCAUGUGCUAGUUGUAUUGUAUUUAGCAGGAGGCCUCAAGAGCUUCAUCAAGGGGGAGCUGUAACAUACCAGAAGAAGGUGACCCUGACCUUGAUGUCCAAAGUGAUUGAUCGUGUGAUCAAUAAUUGUAUAAUGAAAUUAAAUUGAUCUUUGAGACAUUUUUAAGACAUACACUGCUGAUUAGUAUCUUUGAACUUAUCUAUUAUGAGAUUUUAGUUUGCUGGAGGUAGAGGACCUGACAGAGGAGCAUGUUUUUCUUGUGGUCAGUAUGGUCACAUAGUUGCGCAUUGUUCUCAGAGAUCACAUUAGAUUGCUAGGUAGAGACCUUCAGCUUCAAAGCACACUAUUGGGGAUACAGGCAGAUCUCACGGAGUAUUUGCAGCAGUUGAUAACUGCCAGGCAGAACAUCAGGCACCGUGUGUUGGGUGGUUACCGAUGGGAGAAGGGUUUUAAUGCUGUCGUGCCUUUCAAAUAGUAAAAAAGUCUUGGUGAUGCACAAAAUUCACUAAAGAAGACAUUCAAUACCUCUUACCAAGAACGUGGUUAAAUGAUGAGGUAUUAAACUUGUAUUUGGAAUUGAUAGAGGGGAAAAAGAGAAACUGCGCGAUUCUUGAAAUGCCACUUCUUGAGUACAUUCUUGUAUAUGAAGUAUGUUGUGAAUCUGUGAUUGGAUUUGUAGAAGCUUGCUUAAGGGGUGGACGUGCAAGAUGGCAUAUGUUAAUAUGAUACCAAGCAAUUUUAUUUAGCCCCAAAGCUUGCUUCUUUUGCACUGACCUAAUGCAAUGUAUUUAAUUGUUAGCAUUUUACCCAAAGGGGCGAGUAAUAAGAGAUGGACAUUGGCUAUAAAUUACUUGACUGCCACUCCAUAAUGCCUUCACUUUUAUCCCCUUUCUAAAACUGCAAUGUGAAACGUAAUUGCAGUUUCUUAUAAUUUAUAUUGUUAAUGAAGAUUUUUGUUCUUAAUCUCAAGGUUUUUCAUUGGAUGUGGACUGUCAGAAACAUUAAAGAAAAGCAAAUCCAGUAUGUUGAUAUAUUAAAUUCAAGAAA